Molecule: ribosomal RNA, 945 nt
Filed under: Neobenedenia melleni
Lineage: Eukaryota; Metazoa; Platyhelminthes; Monogenea; Capsalidea; Capsalidae
Description: 16S ribosomal RNA
Rfam family: Bacterial large subunit ribosomal RNA (bases 619-900)
Source: RNAcentral
AAUUUAGAUUUUAGUAAAAUUAUUUUAUUAUUUUUACCUUUUGCAUCAUGAUUUAUUGAUUAAAUUUAAUAAGUUAUAUUUUCGAAAUAUUAAGAUAAAAAGAUUAUAAUUGUCUUAGGUUAAGACUAAGUAAAUAUCUUUUGUUGUGAUAAAUUAAUCGUUUAAUAUUAUAACUAAUUAAAGACUUUUAGUUUAAUAAAAAUAAAGCUGUUAAUAACUUUAUUUUUUUUGUAAGAUGUUAAUUAUUUAUUAAUUAAGGGUUGAAAAGUUACCUCAUUUAUAUGUGUGUUACUACUUUUAAUUUGUAUUUUUUCUUCUAAUAGUGGUCUUUUUUAUUAAUUAAAUAUAAAAAAAAAUGAUAGAAUAAGUAGUCAAUUAAUUUAUUAUUUUCUCAAAAUAAUUCGGUAUGUUUAUUAAAAACAUUGCUAUAUAAAAAUUUAUAUAGUAUAGCCUGCUCAGUGCCUGUUAGGUAAAUAGCCGCAGUAUCUUGACUGUGCUAAGGUAGCAUAAUUAAUUGCCUUUUAAAUGGAGGAUUGUUUGAAUGGUAUUACCAGAAUUAGUAUUUAAUAAUAAAUUUUAAUGAAAUUAGUUUAUUAGCACAGAAUCUAAUAUUAAUUUACUAGACGGAAAGACCCUGAAAUCUUAUAUUAAAUUUACUUGGGACAAGAUUAAAUAUUUUAUUUAAAUUUAGAACCCCCCUUUAAGGGUUUAAUGAAAAAGUUACUUCAGGGAUAACUGGGUUAGAAAAAAUAAGAGUACACAUCAAAUUUUUUAAUUGCCACCUCGAUGUUGACUUAAGAUAUACUUUUUGAUGCAGCAGUUUACAAAGUAGGUCUGUUCGACCUUUAAUUCUUAUGAGUUGAGUUAAAACCGGUGUAAGCCAGGUUGGUUCUUAUCUGUAUGUCAAUCUCUAUAGUACGAAAGGAUCUAGAGAGUUUUAAUUUA